This 373-nucleotide long non-coding RNA is filed under the name Anas platyrhynchos platyrhynchos (common mallard). RNAcentral describes it as "lncRNA (ENSAPLG00000027776.1)". Lineage: Eukaryota; Metazoa; Chordata; Aves; Anseriformes; Anatidae. The record is from RNAcentral.
GUCUUGUCCUCCUAACAAUCUUACUCCUUUCAACUGUUUUCUGUGAUUUUUAUAUAUAUAUAUAUAUGUAGAUAAAUAGAUAGAUAUGAGUUCUUGUUUUUAUGUAUUUUUCUUCUGCACUCUGGAAUAAUCUUCAUGAAGAAUGGUAAUUUGCUCAGCAGCCACUAGCUACACUUGGGGAAAAUGCCAAGCACUCUUAACUACUGUGUUCACUUGGAAAUUACUUCACUGGCACUUGUCUGGGAACACAGAAGAGACACAACCUAAUCGAUCCAUAAAGGUAAAAAUUAGAGUUGUGUUAAUGCAAAAUGUAUUUUUAUGGUAAAAGGAAUUCGAAAUGCAAAACAUUGAAGGUAGAGAGAAAGAAUGAUAU